This 40-nucleotide ribosomal RNA is filed under the name Mucor circinelloides. Its description in RNAcentral is "partial 28S ribosomal RNA". Lineage: Eukaryota; Fungi; Mucoromycota; Mucoromycetes; Mucorales; Mucoraceae. The record is from RNAcentral.
UUUGAUCUGAAAUCAGCGGGAUUACCCGGUGAACUUAAGC